RNAcentral lists this unclassified non-coding RNA (277 nucleotides) under Hevea brasiliensis (rubber tree). Lineage: Eukaryota; Viridiplantae; Streptophyta; Magnoliopsida; Malpighiales; Euphorbiaceae. The record is from RNAcentral.
GAGGGAAAACCCGUUGAGAUUGCUGUCUACACUAAGGUCUCUGAGUUCUUUGAUGAAGAGAAGUACCCCGAACUAGGGGCUACUGGCGCUUAUGCCUCGUAUGAGAAACACGAGGUAAAGAAAGACUCAGAACAUGCUUAUUUAUAGUCACAAGAUAGAAGAGGAAGGUGCUGAGUUGCCGUCGAUGAGAAAUAUGAGAAGAAAGAGGCCAAGAAGUAGGAUGAAGAAGCUUAAUUAUGAAAGGAAGCAACACAAUCUUUUUUAAUAAAGUAUGUGU